GAUGAACGCUGGCGGCGUGCUUAACACAUGCAAGUCGAACGGAAAGGCCCAAGCUUGCUUGGGUACUCGAGUGGCGAACGGGUGAGUAACACGUGGGUGAUCUGCCCUGCACUUCGGGAUAAGCCUGGGAAACUGGGUCUAAUACCGGAUAGGACCACAUUUUGGAUGGUGUGGUGGAAAGUUUUUCGGUGUGGGAUGAGCUCGCGGCCUAUCAGCUUGUUGGUGGGGUAAUGGCCUACCAAGGCGUCGACGGGUAGCCGGCCUGAGAGGGUGUACGGCCACAUUGGGACUGAGAUACGGCCCAGACUCCUCCGGGAGGCAGGAGGGGGGAAUAUUGCACAAUGGGCGCAAGCCUGAUGCAGCGACGCCGCGUGGGGGAUGACGGCCUUCGGGUUGUAAACUCCUUUCGCUAGGGACGAAGCGCAAGUGACGGUACCUGGAGAAGAAGCACCGGCUAACUACGUG
Molecule: ribosomal RNA, 465 nt
Filed under: uncultured bacterium
Lineage: Bacteria
Description: partial 16S ribosomal RNA
Rfam family: Bacterial small subunit ribosomal RNA
Source: RNAcentral